Molecule: long non-coding RNA, 990 nt
Filed under: Homo sapiens (human)
Lineage: Eukaryota; Metazoa; Chordata; Mammalia; Primates; Hominidae
Description: long intergenic non-protein coding RNA 954
Source: RNAcentral
AUCUCCUUGAUUGCACGGUCAACCCCGCUCCUGUCUGUCAGGCUCAGGAACCACUUACAAGCUAUGGCAGGUGAUGUUCCAGCAUCCCACAGGGAGGAUUAUGCUGGUGAGCCACAUGGCCAAGCAGGACUAUGGCUUCAACAGCUCUGGGGCCUGCAUGUUCCUGCAUUAGCCCUACUCCAGCAAUGAGGCUGAAGUUACCAGAGUGACAUCAUGGUAUCUGGUGCAAGCUAUAGCAUCCACCUAUUCUUGGAGCACACGUGGUCAGACACUGAUUGGCAUGUGACCAAGUUGAUGGUGGUCAAAACAGAACUCCUUUCAUGCCCACAAGCUUCAGUAUUACUAUGUUCCCUGCCACUUCCGUUGAAGUUUUGCAGGAUUGGGAUGAUCCUUUGGUGUGAACGAAGCCCCAAAGAGGACCACGUGGAGAGUGCCUGACUGUUCCUGUGAUGUCUUCUAGUACAUGAACAGGAAUGAAACCCACUAUGUCCUCCAUGUGAACUACAUGCUGAGCGUGGGUCCAGAUGGGAAACCAUUCUCCUACCCUGCAGAAAUGGUAUAUAGUUUCAAGGAUGUGGGACUUCCCCAGGCCAUUGGCACCUGUGACAGUGAGAACCUAUACUUGGCCACCCCAGUAACUGACCUGCUCUCCUGUUGGAGCUCUACAUGGGACACCAGCUCCCAUGCAUUUAUCCCUUUUCAGACCUCACUGGUGUAUCUGUACCACCUGACCCAAUCCUGCCUACACUUGGACCCUGACGGGCAUUGUGGUGGCCAGUACUAUCCAGAGGAGAGAGAAGGAGUGACUCCAGGACUUAUAUGCCCACAAGCCAAAAGAAGAUCAAGAUCUGAGUGGGAACUGUGGAAAGCAUGUCAUGCGAGCCCCUGCCGCCCUUGAAACUCUGCGUUCCUCCUCCUCAAAGAACAGUGCCUGAAGGUCCUGGCUGUGGCCCUGGCUGGCCAUCUUGCUUCCUGGUCACGGUGGUGGCC